This is a small nuclear RNA of 180 nucleotides. Its record names the gene U2. It matches the Rfam family "U2 spliceosomal RNA". From Rfam's summary of the family: U2 is a small nuclear RNA (snRNA) component of the spliceosome (involved in pre-mRNA splicing). Complementary binding between U2 snRNA (in an area lying towards the 5' end but 3' to hairpin I) and the branchpoint sequence (BPS) of the intron results the bulging out of an unpaired adenosine, on the BPS, which initiates a nucleophilic attack at the intronic 5' splice site, thus starting the first of two transesterification reactions that mediate splicing. The record is from Ensembl.
AUCGCUUCUCAGCCUUUUGGCUAAGAUCAAGUGUAAAAUUUGAAAGUAUUCUUGAGACACAUUGGAAAAUGAUAAUUCAAUUUUUUGAACUUAUUUUGAAGAAAAUUUCAAACCUGCUAAAAAGUUGCAGGAAUAGUACAGUGAACUCCUGAUAUAUCAGUCAGGUUUUUUCCACAUUUG